Molecule: ribosomal RNA, 497 nt
Filed under: uncultured bacterium
Lineage: Bacteria
Description: partial 16S ribosomal RNA
Rfam family: Bacterial small subunit ribosomal RNA
Source: RNAcentral
GAUGAACGCUGGCGGCGUGCCUAAUACAUGCAAGUCGAGCGAACAGAUGAGGAGUUUGCUCCCAUGGCGUUAGCAGCGGAGGGGAGAGUAACACGUGGUUAACCUAACUAUAAGACUGGGAUAACAACGGGAAAUCGGGGCUAAUAACCGAAAAUAUAUUGAACCGGAAGGGUCCAUAGUGAAAGAAGGUUUUGGGGUGACUAAUAGCUGGCUCCGCGCCUCAUCAGCUAGUUGGUAAGGUAGAGGAUUACCAAGGCAACGAUGGGUAGACGACCUCAACGGGUGAUCGCCUACCCUGGAACUGAGGCACGGUCCACACUCCUGGGGUGGGCAGCAGUAGGGAAUCCUCCGGAAUGGGGGAAAGGGGGACGGAGCAACGCCGGGUGAGUGAUGAAGGUCUUCGGACCGUAAAACUCUGUUAUUAUUGAAGAUCUAAUGUGUAAUUAACUAUGCACGUCAUGACGGUACCUAAUCAGAAAGCCACGGCUAACUACGUG